UACGGAGGAUGCGAGCGUUAUCCGGAUUUAUUGGGUUUAAAGGGUGCGUAGGCGGAUCGUUAAGUCAAUGGUCAAAUUGAGGGGCUCAACCCCUUCCCGCCAUUGAAACUGGCGAUCUUGAGUGGAAGAGAAGUAUGCGGAAUGCGUGGUGUAGCGGUGAAAUGCAUAGAUAUCACGCAGAACCCCGAUUGCGAAGGCAGCAUGCCGGCUUCCUACUGACGCUGAAGCACGAAAGCGUGGGGAUCGAACAGG
This 252-nucleotide ribosomal RNA is filed under the name uncultured bacterium. RNAcentral's name for it is "partial 16S ribosomal RNA". It matches the Rfam family "Bacterial small subunit ribosomal RNA", at positions 524 to 776 of the family's 1533-position model. The record is from RNAcentral.